Molecule: long non-coding RNA, 571 nt
Filed under: Physcomitrium patens
Lineage: Eukaryota; Viridiplantae; Streptophyta; Bryopsida; Funariales; Funariaceae
Description: long non-coding RNA (PPAT_LNC005589)
Source: RNAcentral
UUUGGAGUAUUGACCCAUGGAAUGGAUGGUGGCAGACAUCUUCACAAAACCUCUCUUUAGAAAUAAGUUUCUAGCUUUUAGGGAUAUGUUAGGUCUUGUUUUAGUAGAGAAUUAAGUCUCACUUCUUCCAAAGGAGGAGUGUUGAAUGUCCCAUAUUAUAUGUACUGGAAGUUGUGACUUAUCCUGCUCUCAACUAAGACCUUGAAAGAACCCUCUUUUUGGCUUCUGGCACAUUUUGUUUGCAACUAAUGAUGUCCAUACUACUUUCAUAACCUAUCCGGUUUAACACACACAUACUCCUUCAACUGCCGCUACCGCCGUCCGAUGUCGAAGCGCGUAAGUCUGCGAUCAACCCGUCUCCUACUCCAGGUCGCUCCGCCAGCCUCUCAAUCGUGAAGAUGAGCGAGAAAACGUCGCAGGAUUCGGAGCUACGUAAACACUAGAUGGGAUUUAUACCUGGGGAUACCUCCAGCGUUGCAUUCAUUCAUCUGGAUCGAUAGUGCUGGAGACGGAGUGCCCAUGUAUUGCGAAGAUGAGUGGAUUCGAUGUCGAAGGCCACCGAAAAGGCCGC